RNAcentral lists this ribosomal RNA (651 nucleotides) under uncultured bacterium. RNAcentral describes it as "bacterial SSU rRNA". It matches the Rfam family "Bacterial small subunit ribosomal RNA", at positions 8 to 654 of the family's 1533-position model. The record is from RNAcentral.
AGAGUUUGAUCCUGGCUCAGAUUGAACGCUGGCGGCAUGCCUUACACAUGCAAGUCGAACGGCAGCACGGGAGCAAUCCUGGUGGCGAGUGGCGAACGGGUGAGUAAUAUAUCGGAACGUGCCCAGUCGUGGGGGAUAACGCAGCGAAAGCUGUGCUAAUACCGCAUACGAUCUACGGAUGAAAGCGGGGGAUCGCAAGACCUCGCGCGAUUGGAGCGGCCGAUAUCAGAUUAGCUAGUUGGUGGGGUAAAGGCCCACCAAGGCGACGAUCUGUAGCUGGUCUGAGAGGACGACCAGCCACACUGGAACUGAGACACGGUCCAGACUCCUACGGGAGGCAGCAGUGGGGAAUUUUGGACAAUGGGCGCAAGCCUGAUCCAGCAAUGCCGCGUGCAGGAUGAAGGCCUUCGGGUUGUAAACUGCUUUUGUACGGAACGAAACGGUAAGCUCUAAUAAAGUUUGCUAAUGACGGUACCGUAAGAAUAAGCACCGGCUAACUACGUGCCAGCGGCCGCGGUAAUACGUAGGGUGCGAGCGUUAAUCGGAAUUACUGGGCGUAAAGCGUGCGCAGGCGGUUAUAUAAGACAGAUGUGAAAUCCCCGGGCUCAACCUGCGACCUGCAUUUGUGACUGUAUAGCUAGAGUACGGUAG